UACGGGGGGAGCAAGCGUUGUUCGGAAUUACCGGGCGUAAAGGGCGCGUAGGCGGUCAGCACAAGUCAGUUGUGAAAUCUCCGGGCUUAACUCGGAAAGGUCAACUGAUACUGUGCGACUAGAGUGCAGAAGGGGCAACUGGAAUUCUCGGUGUAGCGGUGAAAUGCGUAGAUAUCGAGAGGAACACCUGCGGCGAAGGCGGGUUGCUGGGCUGACACUGACGCUGAUGCGCGAAAGCCAGGGGAGCGAACGGG
Molecule: ribosomal RNA, 254 nt
Filed under: uncultured bacterium
Lineage: Bacteria
Description: partial 16S ribosomal RNA
Rfam family: Bacterial small subunit ribosomal RNA
Source: RNAcentral